GAGUUUGAUCAUGGCUCAGGAUGAACGCUAGCGGCAGGCUUAAUACAUGCAAGUCGAGGGGCAGCAGCUUUAUAGCAAUAUAGAGGCUGGCGACCGGCAAACGGGUGCGGAACACGUACACAACCUUCCUUGAAUAGGGGGAUAGCCCAUAGAAAUGUGGAUUAAUACCCCGUAAUAUAGCGGUGUGGCAUCACACUGUUAUUAUAGUUUCGGCGAUUCGAGAUGGGUGUGCGGCUGAUUAGGUAGUUGGCGGGGUAAAGGCCCACCAAGCCUUCGAUCAGUAGCUGAUGUGAGAGCAUGAUCAGCCACACGGGCACUGAGACACGGGCCCGACUCCUACGGGAGGCAGCAGUAAGGAAUAUUGGUCAAUGGACGCAAGUCUGAACCAGCCAUGCCGCGUGAAGGAUGAAGGUCCUCUGGAUUGUAAACUUCUUUUAUAGGGGGCGAAAAAAGGUCUUUCUAGAUCACUUGACAGUACCCUAUGAAUAAGCACCGGCUAACUCCGUGCCAGCAGCCGCGGUAAUACGGAGGGUGCAAGCGUUAUCCGGAUUCACUGGGUUUAAAAGGGUGCGUAGGCGGGUAGGUAAGUCAGAGGUGAAAUCCYUGGAGCUUAACUCCAGAACUGCCUUUUGAUAYUAUCUAUCUUGAAUAUGGUGGGAGGU
This 662-nucleotide ribosomal RNA is filed under the name uncultured Bacteroidota bacterium. RNAcentral's name for it is "bacterial SSU rRNA". The record is from RNAcentral. Lineage: Bacteria; Pseudomonadati; Bacteroidota.